Molecule: ribosomal RNA, 544 nt
Filed under: uncultured Francisella sp.
Lineage: Bacteria; Pseudomonadati; Pseudomonadota; Gammaproteobacteria; Thiotrichales; Francisellaceae
Description: bacterial LSU rRNA
Rfam family: Bacterial large subunit ribosomal RNA
Source: RNAcentral
UCGUACGCAAUGUUAAUCAACGUAGGGUAAGCCGGCCCCUAAGGCGUAGCUGAAGAGUGAAGUCGAUGGCAAAGAGGUUAAUAUUCCUGUGCCGCUUAUAUAAACGAAGGAAGGACGGAGAAGGUUAGGUAGGCCUGGCGAAUGGUUGUCCAGGUGAAAGUAUAUAGGUAGAGGUGUUAGGCAAAUCCGGCAUCUUGUUAAUCUGAGAUACGAGACGAAGUCAAGCUUGUUUGACGAAGCUAUUCCUACCAUGCUUCCAGGAAAAGCUUCUAAGUAAUAUUGUAUAAGCGACGGUACUGUAAACCGACACUGGUGGGUAGGUAGAGAAUACUAAUGCUAUGAGAUAACUCUGGUGAAGGAACUAGGCAAAAUGACACCGUAACUUUGGAAAAAGGUGUGCCUUGAUGGUGAUAAGACUUGCUCUUUGGGCUCUUGGGGGUUGCAUAUACCAGGUGGCUGCGACUGUUUAUCAAAAAUACAGCACUCUGGGAAAUUGUAGGAUGAAGUAUAGGGUGUGACGCCUGUUCGGUACUGGAACGUUAAU